GCACAAGCGGUGGAGCAUGUGGUUCAAUUCGACGCAACGCGCAGAACCUUACCAGCCCUUGACAUGGGACUCGCCGGGAGCAGAGACGCUCCCUUCGGUUCGGCCGGAGUCCGCACAGGUGCUGCAUGGCUGUCGUCAGCUCGUGUCGUGAGAUGUUGGGUUAAGUCCCGCAACGAGCGCAACCCUCGUCUCCAGUUGCCAUCAGGUUAUGCUGGGCACUUUGGAGAAACUGCCGGUGACAAGCCGGAGGAAGGUGGGGAUGACGUCAAGUCCUCAUGGCCCUUACGGGCUGGGCUACACACGUGCUACAAUGGCGGUGACAAUGGGAUGCGAAGGGGCGACCCGGAGCCGAUCCUAAAAAACCGUCUCAGUUCGGAUUGCACUCUGCAACUCGAGUGCAUGAAGGUGGAAUCGCUAGUAAUCGAGGAUCAGCAUGCCUCGGUGAAUACGUUCCCGGGC
Molecule: ribosomal RNA, 459 nt
Filed under: uncultured bacterium
Lineage: Bacteria
Description: bacterial SSU rRNA
Rfam family: Bacterial small subunit ribosomal RNA
Source: RNAcentral